Long non-coding RNA from Oncorhynchus tshawytscha (Chinook salmon), 2529 nucleotides. The record is from Ensembl. Lineage: Eukaryota; Metazoa; Chordata; Actinopteri; Salmoniformes; Salmonidae.
AGAGAGAGAGAGAGAGAGAGAGAGAGAGAGAGAGAGAGAGGAGUUGCUGUUAACAGACGUAGGGAAGAAAAUAUAUACAAAUUCCAUCUCGACACUGUUUCCCUAGAGCACACAAAAAACUAUACAUACCUCGGCCUAAACAUCAGCAACACAGGUAACUUCCACAAAGCUGUGACCGAUCUGAGAGACAAGGCAAGAAGGGCCUUCUGUGCCAUCCAUACGAACAUAAAAUUUGACAUACCAAUUAGGAUCUGGCUAAAAAUACUUCAAUCAGUCAUAGAGCCCAUUGCCCUUUACGGUUGUGAGGUCUGGGGUCCGCUCACCAACCAAGACUUCACAAAAUGGGACAAACACCAAACUGAGACUCUGCACGCAGAAUUCUGCAAAAAUAUCCUUCGUGUACAACGUAGAACACCAAAUAAUGCAUGCAGAGCAGAAUUAGGCCGAUACCCACUAAUUAUCAAAAUCCAGAAAAGAGCCAUUAAAUUCAACAACCACCUACAAGGAAGCGAUCCUGAGGCUCUGUUGACAAACACAAACACACCCCACAGAGCCCCAGGACAGCAACACAAUUAGACCCAAACAAAUCAUGAGAAAACAAAAAGAUAAUUACUUGACAUAUUGGAAAGGAUUUACCAGUCUGGAAUGCUAUUUGGCCCUAACCAGAGAGUACACAGUGGCAGAAUACCUGACCACUGUGACUGACUCAAACUUAAAGAAAGCUUUGUCUAUGUACAGACUCAGUGAGCAUAGCCUUGCUAUUGAGAAAGGCCGCCGUAGGCAGACAUGGCUCUCAAGAGAAGACAGGCUAUGUGCUCACUGCCCACAAAAUGAGGUGGAAACUGAGCUGCACUUCCUGAAAUCCUGCCAAAUGUAUGACCAUAUUAGAGACAAAUACUUCCGCGAAGAAAAAACCCCAUUGUAAAUACAACCCAUAUUUAUGUUUAAUUAUUUUCCCUUUUGUACUUUAACUAUACAAAUCGUUAUAACAUAGCCAUAAUAUGGAGAGAGAGGUGGCUAUAAUCAGACAUAGGGAAGAGAGAGAUAAGGAGAGAGAGAGAGAGAGAGAGAGAUGGCUAUAAACUAACAUAGGGAAGAGAGAGAGAGAGAGAGAUAUGGCUAUAAACUAACAUAGAGAGAGAGAGGUGGCUGUAAACAGACGAUGGGAAGAGAGAGAGAGAGAGGUGGCUAUAAUCAGACAUAGGGAAGAGAGAGAGGUGGCUAUAAACAGAUGUAGGGAAGAGAGAGAGAGAGGUGGCUAUAAUCAGACAUAGGGAAGAGAGAGAGAGAUAUGGCUAUAAACUAACAUAGGGAAAAGAGAGAGAGAGGUGGCUGUAAACAGACGAUGGGAAGAGAGAGAGAGAGGUGGCUAUAAUCAGACAUAGGGAAGAGAGAGCGAGAGAGAGGUGUCUGUAAACAGGUGUAGGGAAGAGAGAUAGAUAAGGAGAGAGAGAGAUGGCUAUAAACAGACUCGGGGAAGAGAGAGAGCGAGAUGGCUGUAAACAGACUCAGGAAAGAGAGAUAGCGAGAUGGCUGUAAACAGGUGUAGGGAAAGAGAGAGAGAGAGAUGGCUGUAAACAGACUCAGGGAAGAGAGAUAGCAAGAUGGCCGUAAACAGACUCAGGAAGAGAGAGAGAUAGCGAGAUGGCUAUAAACAGACUCAGGGAAGAGAGAGAGCAAGAUGGCUGUAAACAGACUCAGGAAAGAGAGAUAGCGAGAUGGCUGUAAACAGGUGUAGGGAAGAGAGAGAGAGAGAUGGCUGUAAACAGACUCAGGGAAGAGAGAUAGCAAGAUGGCUGUAAACAGACUCAGGGAAGAGAGAGAGAUAGCGAGAUGGCUAUAAACAGACUCAGGGAAGAGAGAGAGAUAGCAAGAUGGCUAUACACAGACUCAGGGAAGAGAGAGAGAGAGAUGGCUAUAAAAAGAUGUAGGGAAGAGAAAGAGAUAGCGAGAUGGCUAUAAACAGACUCAGGGAAGAAAGAGAGAUAGCAAGAUGGCUAUAAACAGACUCAGGGAAGAGAGAGAGAUAGCGAGAUGGCUGUAAACAGACUCAGGGAAGAGAGAGAGAUAGCGAGAUGGCUAUAAACAGACUCAGGGAAGAGAGAGAUAGCGAGAUGGCUAUAAACAGACUCAGGGAAGAGAGAGAUAGCGAGAUGGCUAUAAACAGACUCAGGGAAGAGAGAGAGAUAGCGAGAUGGCUAUAAACAGACUCGAGGGAGAGAUAGCGAGAUGGCUAUAAACAGACUCAGGGAAGAGAGAGAGAUGGCUAUAAACAGACAUAGGGAAGAGAGAGAGAGAGAGAGAUGGCUAUAAACAGACUCAGGGAAGAGAGAGAGAUAGCGAGAUGGCUAUAAACAGACUCAGGGAAGAGAGAGAGAUAGCAAGAUGGCUAUAAACAGACUCAGGGAAGAAGAGAGAUAGCGGUGUCUGUCUGGGAAUAAGUGAUACCUUGCUGAGAUCCCACCUUCAAAUACACACCCCCUUACCUUUCCUAAACAGUGGAUUUGCCUAUUUGCUCAUACAAUUUCC